GGGCCUAUGGUUCAGUGGUAGAACGCUACGUUUGCAACGUAGAAACGGCAGUUCGAUUCUGCCUAGGUCCA
This 71-nucleotide transfer RNA is filed under the name bacterium. Its description in RNAcentral is "tRNA-Ala". It matches the Rfam family "tRNA". Rfam says of the family: Transfer RNA (tRNA) molecules are approximately 80 nucleotides in length. Their secondary structure includes four short double-helical elements and three loops (D, anti-codon, and T loops). The record is from RNAcentral.